CACUAAGGACGAGAGGAGGCCCAAACCAAAUGUAGUUCUCUCUCUUUUAUAGCUUUGUUUGAGUUGAGCCGAAUAGGAGAGGGGUGUGAGGCUCACAGUCACAGCGUGUUUCUUUCGUGAUCUAACCUGCUCCGGAUUCUCGGCUUGCUCGAACGAACAAGGCUUUUUGGAUUUCUGGGUAGACAGUUGUACAAUGAAUACGUGUAUUGUUCAUCAUUUCCAAAUGUUCAGUUGGAUCUUUCAAACUGGAGAAAUUGCAUGGAUCAGAAAAGCAAAACGUUGAAGGUAACUCAUGGCAAAUUUGUCUGUUCAGAGCUAGGUCUGCAGGGCUUUCUUUUUUCACUUUAUGAUUUGAUGAUUGGCUUUAGUGAUAUGAUGACCGGGCUUUGUAUAAAGUACAUGGGCAUGUUAACACUAAGAUUGUUCAAAGGAGUCUAAACAUGUGCAAAAUUUUAGUCGGAACUUUUAUAUUAGAUUGACAUUCAGCGGAGGUUACAUUCUAUUUUCCAUGGGUUUUUGUUUCAGAACUGCUAAUCUUCAUAAGGUGAACUUCUACAUAACCUGUUUGAAUUAAGACAAAACUAGUAUGAUACGUCAUGUGAGUAAAGCUAAAGUUGACAGUUUGUCUUUGUGUCUUUAGUCUCUAUAAUAUACUCAUCUUUUGACAUUAUUUUAAUUGCAAUUUGCAGAUUUGGGUGUCAAUAAUGAUUCAACUUUUGUUGCACUAAAGGAACUAAUUACUUAGUCAAUUAAAUGAAUCGGAGGAUUGUGUCGGAGAACAAGAGAAUUAUCAAGUAAGAUCUUUUUGGUUUCUAUUUUAGUUGCUAUAUUUCUUCCCAUUUAGACUAGAAUGACUAUUUUGCGUGACUACAUUAUGACAUUGUCAUGCUUCCUCUACAAAGCAUAGUUCACCUUAUAAUCUGAAAAGUGCAAACGCCACACACUUUCAUAUCUUUCUGUGAUUAAUUAUUAGCUCAAAUAAUUAGAGUUGCUUGCUUUUGUGGGCUGAUUUUCUUCAACUGUUGGAAAUUUGAAUCAUAAUAUUGAGUUUUAAGGAUCAAUCAAUUGCUAAAUUCUAGUUUCUGUUUCAUGCAACUAGUAGGCAUAUUUACUAUUAAUAAACUGUUGAUGUGAAAGACCUAGUUAUUUUUGUAAGAGCACAUGCUUGUGUGCAUGCGUGGGGUACUGUGUGACUUCUUUUGGCCUGAAUAGGAUGUUUCUGAGAAAAAUUAGGGGGCAUCUGUUGAGUUUCUGGGUUUGAGAAAGUAGUUGUAAAAACUGCUGCUGGAGUUUUGGCGUUUGAUAUUGAUGUAUAAGGACACUAAUUAGUGUAGUGUAUUUGUAAGAGAAGAUUGUGCUUUGAAUUAAUCGUCCAAGGAAAAAAUGUAUGUGUUGCUUUAAAUUUUUUUUUUUGAUAAGAGCAUGAUGGUUAGAUAGGCUAGAUUUAUGUUGGGUGUUAGAGUUGACUACUUUAUAGGGAGGAUUGGCCAAGAAUUAUGAUUCUUAAAGUUGAAGUGUGGUGAAGAUAAUUUUUUUUUAUCUGAUAGAAUGUGAUGCUGGGUUUCUAAAUCAGUCUCUUCUUUGAAGGAAUUUGGGGAAAGUACUUUAUAUGUGAUUUUGUUCUAUUAGGAGAUUUAGUGUUGUGUUAUUAGUCCGUCUGUUUUUCUAGAGGAAACGUUAUCCCCUUAUUUGUUAGUCCCAUGAGAAAAAGAAGUUGACAAUCACACAUUUAGGAUACAUUACUUGAGAAAAUUCUAUAGCGUUUAACAGAGUCAGAUUUCAUGUUUGGUGAUAGUUCAAGUAAUUGGAGGACAGAAAAUUUUCUAUGAAAAACAGAAACUGGAGUAUUAGCCCAUAGGUUAAAUCUAAUACAACUUGAAGGGACUAUGUGAGUGAGUAAGCCCUCCUGAUAUAGCUUUUUAUUUUUUAGUUGUUUAGAAAUAAACAAGGUAAAAUUGGGUUGAAGAAAGUUUUGCUCAUGUUCUAACGAGGUCCUUGGAAUGUCAUGCUCUGCCAGUUUUGGCUCAAAGAUGUCUUAAAUUAACUUUGUCAUAACAUUUCUUAAAACAGUUUUUGAGUUUUAAGAGAGUGAGGUUUUUUUACCACUUCUAACAGUCACUUAGUAAAAUUGAAACUCCUAAUUCAACAUGAUUGACUUCAAUUAGGAGACUUGUUGAGGACACCAAUACAUGCUAAUGAGUUCGAAAGGCCAAAGAACCUAAGUAGAGCCUUAUCACAAAAAAAUAAAAUAAAAAUAAAGUUGGACAUGAGAAUCCACAUAAUGGUAUUGUCAAAGCUUUGAAAUGGUAUGAUUGGUAUCCCAAGUAGAAACCAGUUGCAAUUUAAGUGACUAUUAACCAUUCUUUUCCAUAGACUGACAACGUUUCUUCCCUUGCACUUGAUCUGUAAAGUUGGUUUCUUUCUUUCCAUCUUUGCAAAUAGUAUAUUUCUUUUUUAACAGUAGCCAUGUCAGUUGGAUCUUGAAUUUAAGCUUCCUUUGAAAUGAAAUAGAUUUGUGGAGAUUAAACUAAGUUAAUAACUGUUUUAGAAACCAACAAGGUGAUACUUGUUUGGAAAUUGUAGUUUCCUUCUAAUUGUUCUGCUAUCAUCAAUGAGAUGUGUGCCCCACAUUCUGUAAUGCUACAAAUUGCAAGAAGUAGUUAUACUGUUUUUUCAUGUGUAUUAAUGAUUGAAAAUGGCUUUGAUUUGUAAUAAAUUUCACCAGGUUAAUCCUGACCUCAAUUUGCAAUAUGUGGACAUUGAAAAAUUGUCAUUGCUGUCAUUUUCCUCCUAUGCCCUUCUGUAUUAGUUCUUUUUUUCUUUCACAAACAAAAAAUAUUGUGAUACUCCAUUAUAGCCAGAUGAAUAUUUAAAUUCU
Molecule: RNA transcript, 2878 nt
Organism: Humulus lupulus (European hop)
Lineage: Eukaryota; Viridiplantae; Streptophyta; Magnoliopsida; Rosales; Cannabaceae
Exons: 4
Source: RefSeq, a predicted model, not a curated record